ACUCCUACGGGAGGCAGCAGUGGGGAAUAUUGCACAAUGGGGGAAACCCUGAUGCAGCCAUGCCGCGUGUGUGAAGAAGGCCUUCGGGUUGUAAAGCACUUUCAGUAGGGAGGAAGGUAGUGUAGUUAACACCUGCACUAUUUGACGUUACCUACAGAAGAAGCACCGGCUAACUCCGUGCCAGCAGCCGCGGUAAUACGGAGGGUGCGAGCGUUAAUCGGAAUUACUGGGCGUAAAGCGCAUGCAGGCGGCCUGUUAAGUCAGAUGUGAAAGCCCGGGGCUUAACCUCGGAAUUGCAUUUGAAACUGGCAGGCUAGAGUCUUGUAGAGGGGUUAGAAUUUCAGGUGUAGCGGUGAAAUGCGUAGAGAUCUGAAGGAAUACCAGUGGCGAAGGCGGCCCCUGGACAAAGACUGACGCUCAGAUGCGAAAGCGUGGGAGCAAACAGGAUUAGAUACCCCGUGGUAGCACAGAG
This 472-nucleotide ribosomal RNA is filed under the name uncultured bacterium. RNAcentral describes it as "bacterial SSU rRNA". It matches the Rfam family "Bacterial small subunit ribosomal RNA", at positions 335 to 799 of the family's 1533-position model. The record is from RNAcentral.